This 468-nucleotide ribosomal RNA is filed under the name uncultured bacterium. RNAcentral's name for it is "partial 16S ribosomal RNA". It matches the Rfam family "Bacterial small subunit ribosomal RNA", at positions 28 to 507 of the family's 1533-position model. The record is from RNAcentral.
GACGAACGCUGGCGGCGUGCUUAACACAUGCAAGUCGAACGGAAAGGCCCUGCUUUUGUGGGGUGCUCGAGUGGCGAACGGGUGAGUAACACGUGAGUAACCUGCCCUUGACUUUGGGAUAACUUCAGGAAACUGGGGCUAAUACCGGAUAGGAGCUCCUGCUGCAUGGUGGGGGUUGGAAAGUUUCGGCGGUUGGGGAUGGACGCGCGGCUUAUCAGCUUGUUGGUGGGGUAGUGGCUUACCAAGGCUGUGACGGGUAGCCGGCCUGAGAGGGUGACCGGCCACAUGGGGACUGAGGUACGGACCAGACUCCUACGGGAGGCAGCAGUGGGGAAUAUUGCACAAUGGGCGGAAGCCUGAUGCAGCAACGCCGCGUGCGGGAUGACGGCCUUCGGGUUGUAAACCGCUUUCGCCUGUGACGAAGCGUGAGUGACGGUAAUGGGUAAAGAAGCACCGGCUAACUACGUG